AUGAUUCGUUGGAACUUAUGCCUCAAGUACCACCUAGAAUAGUAGAGUUGGAAGAGACCUCAUGGGCCAUCCAGUCCAACCCCCUGCCAAGAAGCAGGAAAUCGCAUUCAAAGCACCCCCGACAGAUGGCCAUCCAGCCUCUGCUUAAAAGCCUCCAAGGAAGGAGCCUCCACCACAGCCCGGGGGAGAGAGUUCCACUGUCGAACAGCUCUCACAGUGAGGAAGUUCUUCCUGAUGUUCAGGUGGAAUCUCCUUUCCUGUAGUUUGAAGCCAUUGUUCUGUGUCCUAGUCUGCAGGGUAAGAACUGGUGGGAUCACAAAGUCCUGGAACACAACACACCAGACAUCACAGUUGUGGAAAAGAAAAAGGUUUAGAUCAUUAAUGUUGCCAUCCCAGGUGACAGUCGCAUUGACGAACAACAACAGGAAAAACUCAGCUGCUAUCAGGACCUCAAGAUUGAACUUCAAAGACUCUGGCAGAAACCAGUGCAGGUGGUCCCGGUGGUGAUCGGCACAUUGGGUGCCAUGCCAAAGUCUUUGAAGUUCAGUCUUGAGGUCCUGAUAGCGGCUGAGUUUUUCCUGUUGUUUUUCAUCAAUGCGACUGUCACCUGGGAUGGCAACAUCAAUGAUCCAACCCUUUUUCUUUUCCACAACUGUGAAGUCUGGUGUGUUGUGUUCCAGAACUUUGUCAGUCUGGAUUCAGAAGUCCCACAGUAUCUUUGCGUGCUCAUUUUCCAAUACUUUUGCAGGUUUGUGAUCCCACCAGUUCUUUACUGCUGGGCGGUGGUACUUGAGGCAUAAGUUCUAAUGGAUCAUUUGGGCCACAUGGUUGUGCCUCUGUUAGUAGUCUGUCUGUGCGAUUUUUUUACAGCAGCUGAGGAUAUGAUCAAUGGUUUCGUCGCUUUCCUUGCACAGUCUGCAUUUUGGGUCAUCAGCUGAUUUUUCAAUCUUGGCCUUAAUUGCAUUUGUUCUGAUGGCUUGCUCCUAAGCUGCAAGGAUCAGGCCUUCUGUCUCCUUCUUCAGGGUCCCAUCGUGAGCCAUAGCCAGGUCUUCUCCUUAUCAGCUUUUCCUUCAAUUUUGUCAAGGAACUAAUUAAUAAUAAUAAUAAUAAUAAUAAUAAUAAUAAUAAUAAUAAUAAUAAUAAAGCUUUAUUUGUACCCUGCCACCAUCUCCCUGAAGGAUACACAACAAGAUUAGUACACAACAACCCAGAUCAAUAUGCUGGCUGUUGU
RNAcentral lists this long non-coding RNA (1231 nucleotides) under Anolis carolinensis (green anole). RNAcentral's name for it is "lncRNA (ENSACAG00000040368.1)". Lineage: Eukaryota; Metazoa; Chordata; Lepidosauria; Squamata; Anolidae. The record is from RNAcentral.